Molecule: long non-coding RNA, 5843 nt
Organism: Equus quagga
Lineage: Eukaryota; Metazoa; Chordata; Mammalia; Perissodactyla; Equidae
Exons: 8
Source: RefSeq, a predicted model, not a curated record
GCCGGGAGGAGGAGGGCGCGGGGGAGGUGCAGGGGGAGGGAUCCGCGAGCCUGGGAGAGGGAGGCUGCAGCGAGGGAGCGGGACUGGGCCGGAGAGGUGUGUCGGCAGCAGGCGGAGAAGGGUGGAGAGCUUGACAGGGCCGGGAGGGUCUCAGCGGCGACCCAUCGCCUGCAGCCCAGUGCCUGGGCCUGCGCCCUCGCCUCUGGUUCUCAGUGUGCACCGCCCGGGACCCCGACUGGGGGCCACCGAAGCAUCCACUACAGUUCCCAGUUGCACCGAAUUGCGUCAUGUGCAGACGCAUGGGAAAUGGUCGGCAGGGGGCGGAAUCGGGGGACAGGGGCAACUCGCGCCCCCCACCCUCCGUGCCCCGCCGCCCCGCCCCGCGAGGCUUUGGGCAUUUAGGAAGGCAAGGAAAGGAAGAGAAAGGGCAGAGAGAAGAGAGAGAACUGCGUGCAAAGGAUCGCCAGGGAGAGCGCAGAGACGUGGAAGGGGACGGAAAAGCAGCCAGUCUGGGGCCCUAGCGUUCAAGAACCUUACUAGAAGGGGACUCCAAGUCCGAUCCCACCCCGGAUCAUGAUCGGCUCCUAAUUUACCCUCGGCCCUCUCCUGGCGGGGCGAGUGCGCGAUGUCUAGUUUCUAGCAGCAUCCCCACCCCCCCAUGCCCCGGCCAAGCAGGAUAGAGGCGGGGAGGACAGAGAGGUGGCACAGGGGAUGUCCAGGUCUGCUUGUGGACCCGAGGGGACUUUGUCGAGUCCCAGGAGGGGCAUCGAAAGAGCGAGCGGGGAGGGCCUAGAAGACGUUGAAGCUGAGCCGGGGCAGACUGGGGCGGCACGAAGGGGAGGUGAACAGAAUGGCCGAGGAGCCCAGCAUUCGUCAGAAAUUCGCGUCCCCUGGUCGCCGACAGGCAGCCGAGCGGAGGCCCUCCCGACGGGGCUCGAGAAGCCGCAGAGUGUGAAGUUUAGCACCUCCGGCGGCGAGACGGCGCGUUCCGGUGAGCCGCUCCAGCGUCCGGCUGGGGGAGCUGCUGCGCCCCACGCGGCCUGCCGAGGGCGCCGCCCGCGAGGCCCGGAGCUCAGUGGGGUCGGGGUGAGGGGCGAGAGGACCUGGAGAGGGGGCAGGGCUGCCCGAGUGGGAGGGUCAGGGGCGCGCCUGCCCUGGGGUGUGUCCGGGCCCCCGGCUCCGGGCCCUUGAAGCCCCGGGAGCAGGAAGCUUGCGCAAUCCCUUGGCUGAGCGUCCAUGAAGAAAGAAAAAGAGCAAAAGCCGAGCGAGAGUGGAACGAGCAAGGGGGGCGGGCAAGGAGCCAUCCGGGUCUCCGCUCCCUCCCUGACACACGUCCCGGAAUGCUAGGUGGGGACGGCGCGGGAGCUCGAGAGAGCCAGGGAGGGGCGAGGUCUUGAUGGACAGACAGACAGACAGACAGACAGUUGGACGCAGAUGCAAUGCUGUGGGUGUUAAAGUGAGAGAACCCAGGGCACACCAACGAUUUCCCCCUAAACCUGAACCCUCCAACCCCACAGAGGAGCGCCUGCGCCUGCCACCGCCAGUCAGCUGAAAUGAAAAUGUCAACCAACGUUUGUGUCCGAACUACACGCGUUCGUCAAUUGCAAGCACAGGUUGGCUACUGAUCCACGAGUUGGGCCAAAAGUCCACGAAAGAAAGAGUUCUGUGAAUCACCUGCUGUGUGUUUGCAUUAAGUCUGCUUUAGCCUGGGUGGUCAGAGAAGGCCUCACUGAGCAAGUUCCAUGUGAAGUAUGACCCGCAUGUUGAGAAGGAGCCAGCCAUGUAAAGACUGCAGGGACAGCAGGUGCAAAGGCCCUGAGGCAGCACGGAUUUGAAGACUCGAAUGCCAACCAGAGAGGGGAGGGCUGAAGACACAGACACCAGCAGCCAGCCUACAGGGUUCCGCAUCCCAGCUCGGCCAUUGACUCCCCCUGUCACCUUGAGGAAGGAGGUGCCGGACAGCCAAGCCCGAGUGAGAACCCCCACCCAGGAUGAGGAUCCCUGGGGCCAGGGACGCACAUCACCUGUAGGCCAGCGGGCCUGAGCUGUGCACCUCGCUGCUCUCUGCGGAAGAAGACGUCACAUGCGGCCCAGCGCAGGCUCCAGAGUCCCGGGAGCCUCGCAUGUGGGGCCCAUGGAGCGCCUGGGGGCCAUGGGGCUUGGAGCCCAGGAGCUGUCACUGCUGCCCUGUGGAGGGUCCCUCAGUCCCUGUUGACCUUGAACGGCGACCCCUGGGUGCAAGCGGGAGACUUUUUGCCCUGGGUUUGAGUUGACCCCUCUGCUGGGUCUAUAUGGGUCCAGGAAGUGCCCGGUCAGGGGACCGAGCCCAGGCAGUCCUCAGGACUCUGUUGGGGGCAGGGUGCUCUCUGAGAAGCAGAAUCAGGAUUGGGGCACCCGUGUCAUCUAUUUUGGGUCUUCAGCUCACUGCAUGUGAAGAGGGUCUUUUAACACCAAACCCAGUGCCAGCCUUGGACACAUGGGGGUGGCCUGGAUGGCUCGGCUGGGCAGGGCUGGGCUAACGUACACCCCGGCCGCUGGCUAGAAGAGGCCACGAGAGGUGGGCCAGGGCGCCAUCCAGCUCCUGGGGAGCCGCCUGCUGGAUUGUGCAGGGGGCUGGGAACCCACUGGGUUGUGUGCCCAGGAUGGCAGCAUGCAGGGUUGUGUUCUGGUGGCUCAGACCUGCCUUAUCCCCCACUUACAGAGGGGUAAACUGAGGUUCCAACUGUGUGUGGUGGCGGCAGGGCUGGGACUUGACCCCACACCUCCAGCUGGAAGCCGUGCCCCCAGAUCUUCUCUUUUAUUCCCUGGGCCCCAACGAGGCCCUGGGUCUCCACACAUCGUGACCAGCUGGCAGGAGGGCCUGGGGUUUGUGGAACAAUGUGGAGUGAGUUAAACAGACACAAGUCCCCGUUGUCGUGGAGAUUAUCGUUUCAGAAGGUGGAGCUGGGGAGGGGUGGUGGGGGCUGAGGACUGUCUGACGGUAGCUCCCGUGACUUGGUCCCACCGAGCCUUGGGCUGGGCGCCCGGUAAAUACACUCCUAUGUUAUCCACACGACCACCGCAUGAGGUGGUCAUUAUUGUCCUCAGCUCUGCGGGGUAAACCGAGGCAAAGACAGUUGAACAAUAUGCAAGAGGGCAUGAGAGGUGAAUGUAGUUUGCACGUGGGAUGGAUGUGAAUUUGGGGGGCCAAGGGGGAGACUAUAAUGGGUUGGAUAGUAGCCCCCCCCAUAUGUCUCCCGGAACCUCAGAAUGUGACCCUACUUGGAAUAAGGGUCUUUGCAGAUGUAGUUAAAGUAAGGACCCCGAGAUGAGAUCCUCCUGGAUCAGGGCGGACCCCAAAUAUAAUGACGAGCGCCCAUGUAAGAGACUGAAGAGGAGAAGACGCACAGAGACAUUCUGACGUCUCCAGAAGGCCACGUGAGGGUGGAGGCAGAGAUGGAAGUGAUGCAGCCAUGAGCCAAGGACACCUGGGGCCGCUGGAAGCUGGAAGAGACAAAGAAGCGUCCUCCCCUAGAGCCUUCGGGGCAGCGUGACCCUGUUGACACGUUGAUUUUGGACUUCUGGUCUCUAGAGCUGGGGAGAAGAAACUUCUGUUUUUUUAAGCCCCCAAGUUCGGGCGGGACCAGGAUCCGGCCCUGGUGGCGUCUGCCACAGGCCUUGUUUCUCACGCCCCUGCCUGCCCAGGCAGGCCCUGGCCUAGAGUCCUGCAUCCUUUUCUUGGUGGUGGAAAAGGAAGGGCCGUGCAUCUUUGCCGAGCACCUGCCAAGGGCCAGAGGCUGUCACAGGCCUUCUCAUCCACAUUCAUGCCAGCCUGUGAGAUGCCCACUCUUAUCCAUCCUACAGAUGAAGGCAGUCCGCAGACGAGGCCCUGGCUGGGCCCUGAGAGGGUGGGGCACUCAGAGAAGAGGGGCUCUGAGCCCCAGAGCUGUCGUUUGCUUCCACCAAAAUGCCCCUGAACGGGCAGGGUGUGAUGAGAGAAUCGCUCAGUGGACGCAUAGCACAAUGCCAUAAAAACCCCACAGCUGCCCUCUAAACACGCGUGCCCAGAGAAAGGUCUGGAAAGAUAGACCUUUUAGGGCUGUUCUCGAUCCUUCCUUUCCCACAGCCCCUGCCCUAGGUCCAGCCCUCACCCCGAAGGCUGUAGCCCUGGCCUCUCUGCUUCUCCUUUUCCUGCAAAUCCGCCCCAAACACCCAUUUCCCUACUCACUCCUGCCCAAGCUGCCUAUUCCGUGCAUCUGAGCACCAAGGGCCUCCUGGGACCCACCUGCUGCCUGGCCCUUGCUCCUCGGCCCAGUCUGCCCCGGGCUUCCCUUGGAGGAGCCCUGUCCCCACUGGGCAGCCUCCCCUCGCCCCCCUUUAGGGCCCUGCCCCGCUCAGGCCUCACCCCUCCCUUUCAGGGCAAGGAGGGAGGGGAUGACCCUCUGCCGAGCGCGCCCUGCAUCCCAGGCCGGGUGAGAGGGCCUUUGCUCAGAGACCAGCCCCUCAUAAGAGCCCUGACGCUGGGUCUUAUCUCCAUUUUACAGAUGAGAAAACUGAGUCUCAGAUGCGAAUAAACGGGUUCCCACAGCUGCGAAGCGUCAGAGUUGGGACUGCCAACACCCAUUGCCCAUGUCCGUGCUCUUAAAAGUCAUUGAGCGCCUACUCUGUGCACACUGUGCCUGACUGCUGGGCCCCAGGCGCCUGCUCUGAGAACCGCCAGAGCCUGCCACGUGGACCCCCUCCCCCCGGCAGCCGUCACAUCUGCAGCUCUCGCGGUGACACUUCAUCAGUGAUGUGGGAUGGGGACAUCAGUCUUUCAAGUCUGUGUGCACACAGCACGCCUUAUCUCCCCAGCUGGACCAGCACACCCGGCCAGUGGGACGUGCCUGCGGUUUCUCCCAUGUCUCCUUCUGUCCCUAGCAGGCACUCUGGCAUGCGUGUAGCAAUCCUUCUUGAAGGAAUGUGUAAAAUGUGGAGUAGAUGGUGACGCUGACCACCAGGGCCGAAUUUCAGUUAGGCCCUGGUGCCUUUAUAGGUGACCACAGUGCUUGGUGCUGAGUACUUCAUGAAACUCCUCGUUGCAUCCUCCCAAUGGGCCCUUUGGGACUGGAGGACGCCCAGAGAGGCCAAAUGACUUGCUCAGUGUCACUCCGUGGUGCCUGGACCGGGGGUUGAAGGCUGGCUGCGCUGACGUCAUCACAGGAGCUGGGGGGCCAGUGGGCUUGUCCAUUUAUCCUGAGGAUCUAGGGCAGUGCUAUCCCGUGGAAGCAUCAUGUGAAACGCAUCUGUAAUUUUAAGUUUCCUGGUAGCCACGUUAAGAAAGUAAAAAGAAACAGGCAGGAAGCUGCUGAUGUCAGCGGACAGCACGUACCACCGAGGUGUCUGCGGGAUGCCGCCUGGAGCAGCCCCGGGAGGGGCCGGCCUCCACCGUCUGCUUAUCAUUUCAGUGGAUGCUGUUUGCUGGCAGCUGAGGGUAAUUACAGGGCUGCGUCCUUGAGGACGGGUCUGCGCAUGUGUCUCUCGCAGGGCUGGUGGCCCGGCUGGGGCAGCCGAGCGAGCGGUGCCGUCAGCUGCUCACUGAGAUGUGAACUGCUGGGACUCCCGGCAGGGCCUCCGUUCGCCGCACCCCGACGCCUGGGAUGAAAAUGCCAAAUCUGUUUGAAAUGGAGACAUCUCCCCCCUCUCAGGGCCUGCGAGAUGAUGCCAUCUGUGGGCGGUCCUGGCAGCAUUGACCUCCCCUCUCCAGCCACAAACUCUGCCCCCAGGAUGUCCUGUCCCCUGCAGUCCCAUUCUUGUCCUUGUCGCUCUUGCUUUGUUCUUGCUCCUUAGAGCCUUUUCGUUUCUCCCCUCCUCUCUCCGCCCUC